RNAcentral lists this ribosomal RNA (253 nucleotides) under uncultured bacterium. RNAcentral's name for it is "partial 16S ribosomal RNA". It matches the Rfam family "Bacterial small subunit ribosomal RNA", at positions 524 to 776 of the family's 1533-position model. The record is from RNAcentral.
UACGUAGGGUGCGAGCGUUGUCCGGAAUUAUUGGGCGUAAAGAGCUUGUAGGCGGUUUGUCGCGUCUGCUGUGAAAAUCCGGGGCUCAACCCCGGACUUGCAGUGGGUACGGGCAGACUAGAGUGUGGUAGGGGAGACUGGAAUUCCUGGUGUAGCGGUGGAAUGCGCAGAUAUCAGGAGGAAUACCGAUGGCGAAGGCAGGUCUCUGGGCCACUACUGACGCUGAGAAGCGAAAGCAUGGGGAGCGAACAGG